CGAACGCUGGCGGCAGGCUUAACACAUGCAAGUCGAGCGCCCCGCAAGGGGAGCGGCAGACGGGUGAGUAACGCGUGGGAACGUACCUUUUGCUACGGAAUAACUCAGGGAAACUUGUGCUAAUACCGUAUGUGCCCUUCGGGGGAAAGAUUUAUCGGCAAAGGAUCGGCCCGCGUUGGAUUAGCUAGUUGGUGAGGUAAAGGCUCACCAAGGCGACGAUCCAUAGCUGGUCUGAGAGGAUGAUCAGCCACACUGGGACUGAGACACGGCCCAGACUCCUACGGGAGGCAGCAGUGGGGAAUAUUGGACAAUGGGCGCAAGCCUGAUCCAGCCAUGCCGCGUUGAGUGAUGAAGGCCCUAGGGUUGUAAAGCUCUUUUCACCGGUGAAGAUAAUGACGGUAACCGGAGAAGAAGCCCCGCUAACUUC
This 427-nucleotide ribosomal RNA is filed under the name Brucella anthropi. Its description in RNAcentral is "bacterial SSU rRNA". It matches the Rfam family "Bacterial small subunit ribosomal RNA", at positions 30 to 504 of the family's 1533-position model. Lineage: Bacteria; Pseudomonadati; Pseudomonadota; Alphaproteobacteria; Hyphomicrobiales; Brucellaceae. The record is from RNAcentral.